UCCCCUGGGCGCGUGCUUACACAUGCAGUCGAACGGUGAAGCCAAGCUUGCUUGGUGGAUCAGUGGCGAACGGGUGAGUAACACGUGAGCAACCUGCCCUGGACUCUGGGAUAAGCGCUGGAAACGGCGUCUAAUACUGGAUAUGAGACGUGAUCGCAUGGUCGUGUUUGGAAAGAUUUUUCGGUCUGGGAUGGGCUCGCGGCCUAUCAGCUUGUUGGUGAGGUAAUGGCUCACCAAGGCGUCGACGGGUAGCCGGCCUGAGAGGGUGACCGGCCACACUGGGACUGAGACACGGCCCAGACUCCUACGGGAGGCAGCAGUGGGGAAUAUUGCACAAUGGGCGAAAGCCUGAUGCAGCAACGCCGCGUGAGGGAUGACGGCCUUCGGGUUGUAAACCUCUUUUAGCAGGGAAGAAGCGAAAGUGACGGUACCUGCAGAAAAAGCGCCGGCUAACUACGUGCCAGCAGCCGCGGUAAUACGUAGGGCGCAAGCGUUAUCCGGAAUUAUUGGGCGUAAAGAGCUCGUAGGCGGUUUGUCGCGUCUGCUGUGAAAUCCCGAGGCUCAACCUCGGGCCUGCAGUGGGUACGGGCAGACUAGAGUGCGGUAGGGGAGAUUGGAAUUCCUGGUGUAGCGGUGGAAUGCGCAGAUAUCAGGAGGAACACCGAUGGCGAAGGCAGAUCUCUGGGCCGUAACUGACGCUGAGGAGCGAAAGGGUGGGGAGCAAACAGGCUUAGAUACCCUGGUAGUCCACCCCGUAAACGUUGGGAACUAGUUGUGGGGACCAUUCCACGGUUUCCGUGACGCAGCUAACGCAUUAAGUUCCCCGCCUGGGGAGUACGGCCGCAAGGCUAAAACUCAAAGGAAUUGACGGGGACCCGCACAAGCGGCGGAGCAUGCGGAUUAAUUCGAUGCAACGCGAAGAACCUUACCAAGGCUUGACAUAUACGAGAACGGGCCAGAAAUGGUCAACUCUUUGGACACUCGUAAACAGGUGGUGCAU
Molecule: ribosomal RNA, 1000 nt
Filed under: Microbacterium sp. HBUM178330
Lineage: Bacteria; Bacillati; Actinomycetota; Actinomycetes; Micrococcales; Microbacteriaceae
Description: bacterial SSU rRNA
Rfam family: Bacterial small subunit ribosomal RNA
Source: RNAcentral